UACAGAGGUCUCAAGCGUUGUUCGGAUUCAUUGGGCGUAAAGAGCGUGUAGGCGGCCGGGUAAGUCCGGUGUGAAAACUCGAGGCUUAACCUCGAGAUGUCAUCGGAAACUAUUCGGCUAGAGUCCGGAAGAGGAGAGUGGAAUUCCUGGUGUAGCGGUGAAAUGCGCAGAUAUCAGGAAGAACACCUAUGGCGAAAGCAGCUCUCUGGGACGGUACUGACGCUGAGACGCGAAAGCGUGGGGAGCGAACAGG
RNAcentral lists this ribosomal RNA (253 nucleotides) under uncultured bacterium. Its description in RNAcentral is "partial 16S ribosomal RNA". It matches the Rfam family "Bacterial small subunit ribosomal RNA", at positions 524 to 776 of the family's 1533-position model. The record is from RNAcentral.